UGGAUUAGUGGCGAACGGGUGAGUAACACGUGAGUAACCUGCCCUUGACUCUGGGAUAAGCCUGGGAAACUGGGUCUAAUACCGGAUAUGACCUUCCAUCGCAUGGUGGUUGGUGGAAAGCUUUUGUGGUUUUGGAUGGACUCGCGGCCUAUCAGCUUGUUGGUGGGGUAAUGGCCUACCAAGGCGACGACGGGUAGCCGGCCUGAGAGGGUGACCGGCCACACUGGGACUGAGACACGGCCCAGACUCCUACGGGAGGCAGCAGUGGGGAAUAUUGCACAAUGGGCGCAAGCCUGAUGCAGCGACGCCGCGUGAGGGAUGACGGCCUUCGGGUUGUAAACCUCUUUCAGUAGGGAAGAAGCGUAAGUGACGGUACCUGCAGAAGAAGCGCCGGCUAACUACGUGCCAGCAGCCGCGGUAAUACGUAGGGCGCAAGCGUUAUCCGGAAUUAUUGGGCGUAAAGAGCUCGUAGGCGGUUUGUCGCGUCUGCCGUGAAAGUCCGGGGCUCAACUCCGGAUCUGCGGUGGGUACGGGCAGACUAGAGUGAUGUAGGGGAGACUGGAAUUCCUGGUGUAGCGGUGAAAUGCGCAGAUAUCAGGAGGAACACCGAUGGCGAAGGCAGGUCUCUGGGCAUUAACUGACGCUGAGGAGCGAAAGCAUGGGGAGCGAACAGGAUUAGAUACCCUGGUAGUCCAUGCCGUAAACGUUGGGCACUAGGUGUGGGGGACAUUCCACGUUUUCCGCGCCGUAGCUAACGCAUUAAGUGCCCCGCCUGGGGAGUACGGCCGCAAGGCUAAAACUCAAAG
This 806-nucleotide ribosomal RNA is filed under the name Arthrobacter sp. ECP23. RNAcentral describes it as "bacterial SSU rRNA". It matches the Rfam family "Bacterial small subunit ribosomal RNA", at positions 88 to 906 of the family's 1533-position model. The record is from RNAcentral. Lineage: Bacteria; Bacillati; Actinomycetota; Actinomycetes; Micrococcales; Micrococcaceae.